UGCCUAGGAAUCUGCCUGGUAGUGGGGGACGAACGUUUCGAAAGGAACGCUAAUACCGCAUACGUCCUACGGGAGAAAGCAGGGACCUUCGGGCCUUGCGCUAUCAGAUGAGCCUAGGUCGGAUUAGCUAGUUGGUGAGGUAAUGGCUCACCAAGGCGACGAUCCGUAACUGGUCUGAGAGGAUGAUCAGUCACACUGGAACUGAGACACGGUCCAGAUCCUACGGGAGGCAGCAG
This 236-nucleotide ribosomal RNA is filed under the name uncultured Pseudomonas sp. Its description in RNAcentral is "partial 16S ribosomal RNA". It matches the Rfam family "Bacterial small subunit ribosomal RNA", at positions 114 to 354 of the family's 1533-position model. The record is from RNAcentral. Lineage: Bacteria; Pseudomonadati; Pseudomonadota; Gammaproteobacteria; Pseudomonadales; Pseudomonadaceae.